CCUACGGGAGGCAGCAGUGAGGAAUAUUGGUCAAUGGACGAGAGUCUGAACCAGCCAAGUAGCGUGAAGGAUGACUGCCCUAUGGGUUGUAAACUUCUUUUAUAUGGGAAUAAAAUGUUCCACGUGUGGGAUUUUGUAUGUACCAUAUGAAUAAGGAUCGGCUAACUCCGUGCCAGCAGCCGCGGUAAUACGGAGGAUCCGAGCGUUAUCCGGAUUUAUUGGGUUUAAAGGGAGCGUAGGUGGAUUGUUAAGUCAGUUGUGAAAGUUUGCGGCUCAACCGUAAAAUUGCAGUUGAAACUGGCAGUCUGGAGUACAGUAGAGGUGGGCGGAAGUCGUGGUGUAGCGGUGAAAUGCUUAGAUAUCACGAAGAACUCCGAUUGCGAAGGCAGCUCACUGGACUGCAACUGACACUGAGGCUCGAAAGUGUGGGUAUCAAACAGGAUUAGAUACCCCAGUAGUC
This 460-nucleotide ribosomal RNA is filed under the name uncultured bacterium. RNAcentral's name for it is "partial 16S ribosomal RNA". It matches the Rfam family "Bacterial small subunit ribosomal RNA", at positions 338 to 795 of the family's 1533-position model. The record is from RNAcentral.